CCUACGGGCGGCAGCAGUGGGGAAUAUUGGACAAUGGGGGAAACCCUGAUCCAGCGACGCCGCGUGAGGGAAGAAGUAUCUCUGUACUUAAAACUCCAUCUGCAGGAGAGAAAAUGACGGUACCUGACUAAGAAUCCCCGGCUAACUACGUGCCAGCAGCCGCGGUAAUGCGUAGGGGGCAAGCGUUAUCCGGAUUUACUGGGUGUUAAGGGAGCGUAGACGGCAGCGCAAGUCUGGAGUGAAAUGCCGGGGCCCAACCCCGGAACUGCUCUGGAAACUGUGAAGCUGGAGUGCAGGAGAGGUAAGCGGAAUGCCUGGUGUAGCGGUGAAAUGCUUAGAUAUCAGGCGGAACACCGGCGGCGAAGGCGGCUUACUGGACUGUAACUGACGUUGAGGCUCGAAGGCGUGGGGAGCAAACAGGAUUAGAUACCCCAGUAGUC
Molecule: ribosomal RNA, 440 nt
Filed under: uncultured bacterium
Lineage: Bacteria
Description: partial 16S ribosomal RNA
Rfam family: Bacterial small subunit ribosomal RNA
Source: RNAcentral